UACGUAGGGGGCAAGCGUUGUCCGGAUUCAUUGGGCGUAAAGAGCGUGUAGGCGGCCAGGUAGGUCGGUUGUGAAAACUGGAGGCUCAACCUCCAGACGUCGACCGAAACCAUCUGGCUAGAGUCCGGGAGAGGAGAGUGGAAUUCCUGGUGUAGCGGUGAAAUGCGCAGAUAUCAGGAAGAACACCCGUGGCGAAAGCGGCUCUCUGGAACGGUACUGACGCUGAGACGCGAAAGCGUGGGGAGCGAACAGG
This 253-nucleotide ribosomal RNA is filed under the name uncultured bacterium. RNAcentral's name for it is "partial 16S ribosomal RNA". It matches the Rfam family "Bacterial small subunit ribosomal RNA", at positions 524 to 776 of the family's 1533-position model. The record is from RNAcentral.